RNAcentral lists this ribosomal RNA (268 nucleotides) under uncultured bacterium. RNAcentral's name for it is "partial 16S ribosomal RNA". It matches the Rfam family "Bacterial small subunit ribosomal RNA", at positions 1234 to 1500 of the family's 1533-position model. The record is from RNAcentral.
CGUAAACAAAGGGAAGCGAAGUCGUGAGGCCAAGCAAAUCUCAAAAAUAAACGUCUCAGUUCGGAUUGUAGUCUGCAACUCGACUACAUGAAGCUGGAAUCGCUAGUAAUCGCGAAUCAGAAUGUCGCGGUGAAUACGGUCCCGGGUCUUGUACACACCGCCCGUCACACCAUGGGAGUCGGAAAUGCCCGAAGUCGGUGACCGAACCGAAAGGAAGGAGCCGCCGAAGGCAGGUCUGGUGACUGGGGUGAAGUCGUAACAAGGUAUC